This 415-nucleotide ribosomal RNA is filed under the name bacterium Ellin6098. RNAcentral's name for it is "bacterial SSU rRNA". It matches the Rfam family "Bacterial small subunit ribosomal RNA", at positions 32 to 455 of the family's 1533-position model. Lineage: Bacteria; Pseudomonadati; Acidobacteriota; Terriglobia; Terriglobales; Acidobacteriaceae. The record is from RNAcentral.
AAUCAACGCUGGCGGCGUGCCUAACACAUGCAAGUCGAACGAGAAAGUGGUAGCAAUACCAUGAGUAAAGUGGCGCACGGGUGAGUAACACGUGACUAACCUACCUUGGAGUUCGGAAUAACCUCGGGAAACCGGGGCUAAUACCGGAUAACACCUACGGGUCAAAGGAGCAAUUCGCUCUGAGAGGGGGUCGCGGCUGAUUAGCUAGUUGGCAGGGUAAUGGCCUACCAAGGCGACGAUCAGUAUCCGGCCUGAGAGGGCGCACGGACACACUGGAACUGAAACACGGUCCAGACUCCUACGGGAGGCAGCAGUGGGGAAUUUUGCACAAUGGGGGAAACCCUGAUGCAGCAACGCCGCGUGGAGGAUGAAGGUCUUUGGAUUGUAAACUCGGUUCGAACGGGACGAUAAUGAC